RNAcentral lists this ribosomal RNA (460 nucleotides) under uncultured bacterium. RNAcentral describes it as "partial 16S ribosomal RNA". It matches the Rfam family "Bacterial small subunit ribosomal RNA", at positions 338 to 795 of the family's 1533-position model. The record is from RNAcentral.
CCUACGGGGUGCUGCAGUGAGGAAUAUUGGUCAAUGGGCUUACGCCUGAACCAGCCAAGUCGCGUGAGGGAAGACUGCCCUAUGGGUUGUAAACCUCUUUUGUCAGGGAGCAACGCCGGCUACGUGUAGCCGGACUGAGAGUACCUGAAGAAAAAGCAUCGGCUAACUCCGUGCCAGCAGCCGCGGUAAUACGGAGGAUGCGAGCGUUAUCCGGAUUUAUUGGGUUUAAAGGGUGCGUAGGCGGAAUGCCAAGUCAGCGGUAAAAUCGAGAGGCUCAACCUCUUUCCGCCGUUGAAACUGUCGGUCUUGAGUGGGCGAGAAGUAUGCGGAAUGCGUGGUGUAGCGGUGAAAUGCAUAGAUAUCACGCAGAACUCCGAUUGCGAAGGCAGCAUACCGGCGCCCGACUGACGCUGAGGCACGAAAGCGUGGGUAUCGAACAGGAUUAGAUACCCUAGUAGUC